GCCGCAUGGCUCAGUGGGAAAAACUCCGGUGGUAUGAGAUGGACCCGCGUCUGAUUAGGUAGUUGGUGGGGUAACGGCCUACCAAGCCAACGAUCAGUAGCCGACCUGAGAGGGUGACCGGCCACAUUGGGACUGAGACACGGCCCAAACUCCUACGGGAGGCAGCAGUGGGGAAUAUUGCACAAUGGGGGAAACCCUGAUGCAGCGACGCCGCGUGAGCGAAGAAGUAUUUCGGUAUGUAAAGCUCUAUCAGCAGGGAAGAAAAUGACGGUACCUGACUAAGAAGCACCGGCUAAAUACGUGCCAGCAGCCGCGGUAAUACGUAUGGUGCAAGCGUUAUCCGGAUUUACUGGGUGUAAAGGGGGCGUAGACGGCUGUGUAAGUCUGAAGUGAAAGCCCGGGGCUCAACCCCGGGACUGCUUUGGAAACUAUGCAGCUAGAGUGUCGGAGAGGUAAGUGGAAUUCCCAGUGUAGCGGUGAAAUGCGUAGAUAUUGGGAGGAACACCAGUGGCGAAGGCGGCUUACUGGACGAUGACUGACGUUGAGGCUCGAAAGCGUGGGGAGCAAACAGGAUUAGAUACCCUGGUAGUCCACGCCGUA
Molecule: ribosomal RNA, 600 nt
Filed under: uncultured bacterium
Lineage: Bacteria
Description: bacterial SSU rRNA
Rfam family: Bacterial small subunit ribosomal RNA
Source: RNAcentral